RNAcentral lists this ribosomal RNA (253 nucleotides) under uncultured bacterium. RNAcentral describes it as "partial 16S ribosomal RNA". It matches the Rfam family "Bacterial small subunit ribosomal RNA", at positions 524 to 776 of the family's 1533-position model. The record is from RNAcentral.
UACGAAGGGUGCAGGCGUUAUUCGGAAUCAUUGGGCGUAAAGCGCGCGCAGGCGGAUUGAUAAGUCAGGUGUGAAAUCUCGAGGCUCAACCUCGAAACUGCGCCUGAAACUAUUAGUCUAGAGUGUCGGAGGGGGUAGGGGAAUUUCACGUGUAGGGGUAAAAUCCGUAGAGAUGUGAAGGAACACCGGAGGCGAAGGCGCCUACCUGGACGACUACUGACGCUGAGGCGCGAAAGCGUGGGGAGCAAACAGG